This 652-nucleotide ribosomal RNA is filed under the name Subtercola sp. TSBY-29. Its description in RNAcentral is "bacterial SSU rRNA". It matches the Rfam family "Bacterial small subunit ribosomal RNA", at positions 79 to 745 of the family's 1533-position model. Lineage: Bacteria; Bacillati; Actinomycetota; Actinomycetes; Micrococcales; Microbacteriaceae. The record is from RNAcentral.
CUUGCUGGGUGGAUUAGUGGCGAACGGGUGAGUAACACGUGAGUAACCUGCCCUUGACUCUGGGAUAAGCACUGGAAACGGUGUCUAAUACCGGAUAUAUCAGCUGGCCGCAUGGUCUGGUUGUGGAAAGAAUUUUGGUCAAGGAUGGACUCGCGGCCUAUCAGGUAGUUGGUGAGGUAAUGGCUCACCAAGCCUACGACGGGUAGCCGGCCUGAGAGGGUGACCGGCCACACUGGGACUGAGACACGGCCCAGACUCCUACGGGAGGCAGCAGUGGGGAAUAUUGCACAAUGGGCGAAAGCCUGAUGCAGCAACGCCGCGUGAGGGAUGACGGCCUUCGGGUUGUAAACCUCUUUUAGUAGGGAAGAAGCGAAAGUGACGGUACCUGCAGAAAAAGCACCGGCUAACUACGUGCCAGCAGCCGCGGUAAUACGUAGGGUGCAAGCGUUGUCCGGAAUUAUUGGGCGUAAAGAGCUCGUAGGCGGUUUGUCGCGUCUGCUGUGAAAACUGGAGGCUCAACCUCCAGCCUGCAGUGGGUACGGGCAGACUAGAGUGCGGUAGGGGAGAUUGGAAUUCCUGGUGUAGCGGUGGAAUGCGCAGAUAUCAGGAGGAACACCGAUGGCGAAGGCAGAUCUCUGGGCCGUAACUGACG